CGCCGCCCCUGAGCCACCGCCGUUGCAGCUCCUAGGCGCUGCCGCCACACACCGCGCCGAUGUUGUGGCGCACGUCGAGGCAGCUCUCCUCCAGCCACCUUAGCCACCUCCGGUUCCCCCAACCCUAGCCGCGUCCUGAAGCGGUGAAGGUAGCUGGACGCGCUCAGCACGGCGCGCGCGGCGGCGGCAACGACGAGGCAGAGGGCCGCCUUGCCCCCGUACCACGGCCG
Molecule: long non-coding RNA, 230 nt
Filed under: Brachypodium distachyon (stiff brome)
Lineage: Eukaryota; Viridiplantae; Streptophyta; Magnoliopsida; Poales; Poaceae
Description: long non-coding RNA (BDIS_LNC002281)
Source: RNAcentral